Non-coding RNA from Biomphalaria pfeifferi, 226 nucleotides. The record is from the annotation of a GenBank genome assembly. NCBI's taxonomy places the organism in Eukaryota, Metazoa, Mollusca, Gastropoda, Planorbidae.
CUUAGCUAACCAGCCAUACCGCAAAACAUAUAAAGAAAUAAAUGUAUAUAUACAACAUAAAAUGUGUUAAAAAUAAAAAGACCACUAAUUUUGACUUCUACCCACAUAAUGUACAAAAUUAAUUUAUAAUUAAGAAAGUUCUCUUUCUGAAAUUUUGUUAAGUUUAUGUUGGAAAUUACAGAUGGUUAAUUCAAAUGAAAAGCUGUAAAAAAUAAAUAAUUCAAAU